UGCAUUCAUAUGUACAAGUUGUAGUGACAAUGCAGCAAAAGCAACUUCUAGCAUUUCCCUGAGUUUGUGAAUAGAUGACAUCAUGGUUCUUUGUGAAGGUGCGUGAAGAACAAAGCCUCUACUGGGACGAUUGCUUUGUUUAGUUGAUGAUCCCCGUGGACUCUAUUGUACUGUGGACAUGGAACAGAGGCGGCCUCAUGAAUCCAGGCCGGGGUCAUAACUCAAAAGGACACAGAAGCUGAGCCACCGCCAUCCGCGAGCUGGCAUCCCAGGGACAAAUGAGUCCGUCAAGUGAUGCUCCCGUGCAUCUACUGUGGCUGCC
Gasterosteus aculeatus aculeatus (three-spined stickleback) is the source of this 322-nucleotide long non-coding RNA. The record is from Ensembl. NCBI's taxonomy places the organism in Eukaryota, Metazoa, Chordata, Actinopteri, Perciformes, Gasterosteidae.